CCUCUGCCUCUAAACUUCAGUCAAUGGGGAGAGAAAAGUACCAGUCAUCCCUCUAACACAACCCUCAGAGACCAAUCUGGUUUUCAUUGGAAUCCACUCAACCCUCUUCCCUGACCCAUUCUCACUCUGGUGAAGUUCUGAGAAGUCCAAUCCUAGCCCUGCUCCCUACCAGCCUUUUUCCUUAGUCUCCCCCCCACCCCCCACCCCAGGCUUCAGUUUUCUCAUCUGGAAAAUGAGUAUGGAAGUUGGGCUUCGGACUUCUAAUUCUGACUCUCUCUGAUUCUGUAAUGCUUAGAUCAUCUCGCCACCUUCCCUGGGGGAGGAAACAUCAGGAUAACCAGACCUGCCCACCGCUUCCCUGCUAAGGGGACCAACAGGCUAGUGACCAUCCAAUUUGGCUGUGGCAUCCCCUAAAGGAAAGUAGAACGGAUCAGACAGAAAGGAAGCAUGGAGGAGAAGAUAAAGGGACUUUGCUGGCAAAAGGAGCUGUAUUUCCCAGGACUUGAUUCCCACUCCCAUCCGAAGUGUUUACUCCAAAGGCAAAAGGAUGACACUGGAGUCUGGAGGCAUCUAAGUAUCCAAACUGUCCUGGAUCCAGAAGGCAGAAGGCAGAGAUGGAUGAGAUGACUGCUAUUUCCUCCUUUCCAUACCAUGCAAGAACUUUCCAAAUGCUGAGCUAACGCUGGCAAUACAUGCACCAAUAUCAUCUAUCAUGUGGAUAUUUUUGGAAAGUAUACUGCCAAGGUUUGUAAACUUAUCCACAGCAUU
This 768-nucleotide long non-coding RNA is filed under the name Monodelphis domestica (gray short-tailed opossum). RNAcentral describes it as "lncRNA (ENSMODG00000031317.2)". The record is from RNAcentral. Lineage: Eukaryota; Metazoa; Chordata; Mammalia; Didelphimorphia; Didelphidae.